AGUCAACACAGUAAAAAACAAAUGUUUGACCGUUUGUCUUAUCUACACAAUGAAAACAAUUCCUUCAAUAAAUCUUCCUCCAUUAGCUACUGCCCCUAAGUGGUCACUGUCUGAUCCUGCCAGUGCCCUUCACCAGUGUAUCUUGGGCACCUGCCGUGAGCAGAUGGAGCGUCGGGCACUUGCCCACGUUCGUCCUCACUGAGGCCUCACUACCCCCAUCUCGCAGCUGGGGAAGCAGGCGGCGUGGCCGGGUGGGAAGCCAAGUCCCCCAACCGUGGGUCCAGUGUCCUUUCCCUGCCCCAGUAAACACCCCUAGCACAACAGAACUGACCGGCCCUCCGAGCCAUGUUGACGGCAGCCCAGCUCAGCGACCGUGUCCAUCAGCAAUUUCUCGGCAGUCACCCCCUGGAUUGAUGCUGCACCCAUUAAGGGCAGCUGUGGUCAGACUGGAUGUGCCUGUGGACCCAGAAUACUGAUGACCUGAUUUCUCCCAGGAGGCUCUCAGCUUCUGGGAAGGACCUGGCACAAGGAGACUUCUCCAAGAGUGCUGUCUUCCCAGGUGUGUGGCCUCUUGAAGAGCCGACCAAGGACAGGUGAGAUGGCUGCUUUAUUCCCCACCAUACACCAGCCCAUGUCCUUUAGGGAAGUGGCAUUUCAAGCAGAUUAAGUUCAGCAAAGAGCCCCGCAGUGAGUUAGAAAUUCCUUUUGAUAAAAAAAAAAAAACCUUUUAUUUCAAACGCAGAGAGGCCAGGAGUGAGUUUAUGUUUUUAAUAAGCUGUUCUGUAUUCUGAAUUUGAUUUUAUUUUUCAAAGUGGACGAAAGGAAAACUGGGGAUGGGGAAAAAUCUAUUAACUAUUAAUAUUUGUCCACAUGGCCAAAGCGCAGCAGGUGGGAGUGAGAGUGGGUGACGUUUAGGGGUUCAGGGGAUGCUGCAGCCCCCAGAUCGCAGAUUAGAGGGCCCUCGGGGUGAAGGCAGUGGCUGUCUUAUUUUGAACAAUGGAGCAAUGGGAAGCUCCUGGCUUGGAAGCCGCCUGUGCCUUUUCCGUCUUCUCAUGGCUCGACGUGAAGAUGGCCCCAUCUCCAAUUCCAGGAACCCUCGUUUCAGCCUAGCCGGGCAAGGGCCUGAUGGUAUCAGCAGCCUCCAGCGGAAUUGGAAAUUAAUUCACGCCCCUAGCAUGUCUCCAGGCAUCCUCCACUCUGUGCUGAAUUAUUCCUCCGGAGGAAAGAAGGAAUAAAUACUAUCGCCUGUCCCUUCAUGGUAUUUUUCUUCCUCCUGGGAAGGGAACAUCCUCUGCCAUCCACACUCACCUGCUCUGUCACCUAGGAAGUCCAAGCACCGUGUUUGAGCUUUCUGGCACAAACAGCUGGCACAGAGGAUGGAUGGGGGCAAGAGCUUGAGGCCCCCGGCACUGGAUUCUGGAGACCGUGUCCUAAUCUCAUCUCUGCUUCUGACUUUGUGUGGUCUUGGGAAAGCCUUGAGCCCCCUUCAUGCUGGUCAGGUAAAAUGCUGAACUGGUGGGUGACCUGUAAGCCCCUUCCCAGUGCUGAUGUUUGAUUCCCUGUGGGAUUUCUGUCUCAUGUCUCAAAAAUUUGAGUUUUUAUCUGUUAGCAAUAGGAAGAGAGAACUGAUACUGGGUUAGAUAAGAUUGCCAUGUGAGGAGUUGGCUGGUCCAUCCAGGCACUUGUAACUUGUUUGACUCUAAGGGCCUGGCUUGGGUGUGUCCUCUGCCCCGCCGAUUGCAGCUUGAGUUGUCCCCAUUAGCUCCUGGACCUGCUGAGCUGAUUAGCUCCCUAGCAUCCAUCAGUCCCCCGCUGCAAAUCCUUCCUGGUCACUGCUGUGUAGGCUGCAGUCCCAGUUUUCAUAUUUGGUUUAUCAAUGUCUUUCCUGGCUGGACGCAGCCUGCUUCCAACCCUGCCUCAUCUCAAAUCUCAUCUUCUGCCUUUUCCUGAGCAGGUCAUGUUUAUUCAGGCCUCUGCAUUUAAAUACACUGGUCCUUUGGCUGGGAGCACCCUCUCUCCUCCCCUCUGCUCGACAGACUCCUACAUGUCCUGCAAUAGCUGAAAUAUCCAUUUCUCUCGGAUUCUCUUUCUGAUCUCCAAACACAUCGAGUAUAUGCAGCUUAAUUUCCACAGCAUGGCUCAUCUUCCCUAAUAUCCCUGACAUAUUUAUUGAAAAGAGUUUGGCAUUGAGCUAGAGAUAGAUGCAAAAACAUUGCUCGUUAUUCCAAGACCGAGACACAGAUAGACAAUUAUGGCGCUGUAAAAUCAGGGCUUUGGUGGAGGAAAGCGUGAAAACCAGUGGGAGCGCAGUGUGCCUGGCAUUCCCGACUGGACUGCAAACAUGGGCUUACGUGCCGUCCCUUGCCCUCACUAGACUGUGAUCUCUCUGUGGGUAGGGGCCGGAGUGAUCAUCUCAGCAUCUGCAGCGCUCAAACCUGGCGCACAGUAGGUCUCAUCAAGUAUUUGCAACGUGAUGAGUGGAUGAGACGUGGAGCUCCGGGUUUGGGGAGGGGUCGCCUGCACAAUGAUUAAUAGUGCUCCGUAGGUCCCCUCUAUGGGUGCACAGCGGCAAAGGGAUGGGAGUCCCUCAGCUUCCCGACAAAUGCGCAGACAGUGAGGGUGAGAGUAGGGACUGAGGUGGGGGGCAUGAAGCUAAUUUCCCCCCUUUUUAAGGAAAUGCAUCCCAGAAAUCUCUCAAUUCCUCUGAGGAACCACACACGCACGCAGCUUAGAGUUAAAUCAUUUGUAUCCACACGCUCUAAAUAUAUACGUAGAAAUAAUGCAUAUAUGCAUGCUUCUAUAAUUUAUCUCUACUAACUAGACAUUGAGAGUAUUUGCAUCUACUGAAAAUACAUAAAUUAUUUGUUUCCUUCAAUUAUAGAUGGCAUAUUUAUAACAAGCACACAUAAAUUGUGAGUGCAUGUUAUAAAUAUAUAAUCCUGUUUGCUGACAUUUAUCAGCCAUAUGCUGUGUGCCAAGCUCGGUGCUAGCACUUUGCAGUCAUUAUUUCACUUCAUCUUCACUGUUGUCCCGUGGAGAAGAUGCGAUGCAGUGGUUUUCAACUUUCUCUUUUUAAACCAAACUUAUUUUUAAAAUAAAAUAUUGUGUGGGAAUUUCAACAUAUAGAAGAGACGAAAGCUUUGCUGCAGACCUGGAGACCUUCCUGCCUCCCUCUAUCCCCGCCCUCCAUGCCAAAGAGGAGGAGGCAAGAGGACUGGAUUCCCGGGCUGGGACACUCUACCUCGCCAGCUGUGUGAUCUGGGCAGCACUGUGCUCCUUGCUCUUCCUGGGACCCGUGAGCAUGCCUCUGCCUCAGGGCCUUUGCACCUGCCACCCUCUCCUGGAUCCUCCUUCCUGCAGAAUUUGAAGGAAAUCUCAGCAUGGAGAACAAAGGCUGAUCAGAAUCCUGACGUGGGAAGUGCAGGCUCCAUCCGUGGAAGGUGGAAGGCUCUGUCCAGUGGCCAUGCCUCCCUACAGUGUAGCUGCUGUCAUUUCUCAAGUUCUCCAGCCUUUUGUUUCAGCCACCUGGAAAGAGCCAUCUCAGUUUCAUUUCUAAGAACCUGAACAAAAGACUGAUUUGGUGCAGUUUGGCGUAGGUGUCCAGACCUAAGCCAUUGGUGGUAGCCUGCUUCUAGAGGAUGCCUGUGUUCCUUGGCUCCUGGCCACGUCACCCUGACCUCUGCACCUGUGGUCAAACCGUCUUCUCUCACUCAGACCCUCCUGCCUCCCUCUUAUGAGGUCUCUUGUGAUGACAUUGGGCGCACCCAGAUAACCCAGGUAAUCUCCCAUUUGCGAGAUCUUUAAUUUAGUCACCUCUGCAAAGUCCUUUGUGUUACGGGCUGAAUGUUUGUGCCGGCACCCCCUACCCCCCGCCAACAAACCAUAUGUUGAAGGCCUGACCCCCAAGGUGAUGGUCUCUGGAGACGGGGCCUUUGGGAGGUGCCUAGGGUUGGGCUGGGUCAUGAGGAUGGGGCCCUCACCAUGAGAUUAGUGGCCUUAUUGGGGGCGAGCACAGAAGAAAGGCUGUGUGAGGAGGCAGUGAGAAGACAGCUGUCUGCACCACCGCUUGACCUCUGCCUCCCUCUCAGUGGCAUCCUCGGUCCUGGCUCCCUCUUCUGCAUUCCCACAGCACUUCUCCAGUGUCUCGGUUACUGGGUCCCGCUUCCUCCAAUGAUCCAGGACUCUCAACUGCGGAGACAGACAAGGGCUCCAGGACCUCCUCCAGCACCUGUGCUCACUCUGGGGGAAGAUUUCCCCCCAAAGCUGCCGGGCCCUGGGAGGCAUGUCUGCCCUGUGUUAGGUCCUGGCACAACACCAUGGGUUUGCUGGUGACAAGUAACUGAUGCAGGGGGGUCUGGAGGUGGCCAGACCUACCACGUAGACCAGAUGCCAUCACUGACCGGCUCCGGUGUGACCGUGGACACGCCACUUCAACUUCUUCACCUGGGAAUAGGGGCUGAUGUUCUCCAUUUUGAAUGGACUUGAGGGACACUGAAUCCAACCACUUUUUCAGGUUUUGAGGAAAAAGGUUCAAUUUAUUCAUCUCUGCAACGUGAAGCAUAAUAGGGUUUUGGGAGGGGUAGAGAUAAUACGUAUGCAAUGCUGCCACGUGGAAGGUACUCUACACGUAGGAAUUAUGGUGGCAUGAUUAUGUUUCUUGGUCUCACCGAUGUUCUGUGUUCUCCCAUUUACUGGAGCCUAUGCAAGUAGAGUGUCCAAGAGCCACACCAGGAGCUGCUCCAGUGGUUCUGAGCUCACAAGACACGUCUCCCCAAGUUUGAGUUGGCACUAGUUAUGCGCACCUUUGUUCCUUUUAUAUUUCUGCAAACUCUGAGUGAGGAGAGAAUUUCUUUCCCAGGCAGCAUCUAAACCACAACAUGUUCUCUGUCUUCAUUCUCACCCACUUGGUUAUUUAUUUUUUGUUUUUUUUUUCGCCUCUCCCUUUCAGGCUUUUUUUUUUUGUCCUUUAGAUGUGGUGGCCACGCUAUCAGGACUGUGGAACUGGUUUUCUGUGAUGAAUAAUACCAUGGCCCUUCCCUAAACAACAAAGAAGGGAUCAUGAAGCUACUCAAAAGAGGCCAAUGUCUGCUUCUAGAACAUAGGGCUUUGGGAGAAAAAAGAAAGAGGGAGGCUAAAGUCCUGGAGUGAAAAGAUAAAUGCCUUUAUGUACAAAUUAAAUUAAAUCAGCUAAGUAGUAAAAUAAAUUAAAAAAUAUAAACACAUUUAUGUAAUUAAAAUAUUACUAAGUAUUGAAAUAUAU
Non-coding RNA from Microcebus murinus (gray mouse lemur), 5260 nucleotides. The record is from RefSeq and is a predicted model, not a curated record. Lineage: Eukaryota; Metazoa; Chordata; Mammalia; Primates; Cheirogaleidae.